Long non-coding RNA from Oncorhynchus keta (chum salmon), 2738 nucleotides. RefSeq lists it as uncharacterized. Lineage: Eukaryota; Metazoa; Chordata; Actinopteri; Salmoniformes; Salmonidae. The transcript is spliced from 6 exons. The record is from RefSeq and is a predicted model, not a curated record.
UACUUGUCCGGUCUGUGUGUUUCGUUUAGGCCUGUUCUGUUCGGGUGGUUUGGGCCAGACACAGAGAGACAGACACAGAACAGCUCAUGACAGAGAGGAAGAGAGAGCAGUUGGUAUCUCUACCUGAAAAUACAUCAUCAUCAUGAUCGACAGCAGUCAUAAAAGUAUGCCUUAUUUACUCUGAAGAACCUCUAAAAUAGUGAUUUUGUUUUUUGUCCGACAACAUAAUGAUGUCUUGAGAUGAUGACUUAAUAAAAGUGAUUAAAUCAAACGAAUGUGAUUCCAUACAAACAUCUGGACUGUUCUGUUCUGUUGUGAUUUAGGGGUGUUGUUCUACCAUAUCAAUGUACUGCCAACAGUUUGGACCAGUAACCUGUUGGUCUGCAGCAUGUCCAGAACCCAGAGUCCAGAACCCAGAGUCCAGAACCUAGAGUCCAGCACCCAGAGUCCAGAACCCAGAGUCCAGAACCCAGAGUCCAGAACCUAGAGUCCAGAACCCAGAGUCCAGAACCCAGAGUCCAGAACCCAGAGUCCAGAACCCAGAGUCCAGAACCUAGAGUCCAGAACCCAGAGUCCAGCACCCAGAGUCCAGAACCUAGAGUCUAGAACCCAGAGUCCAGAACCCAGAGUCCAGAACCCAGAACCUAGAGUCCAGAACCUAGAGUCCAGAACCCAGAGUCCAGAACCUAGAGCCCAGAACCUAGAGCCCAGAACAGUACAACAGUUGAUUACAGUAGAUUGUAGGUAGGUUCUAGGUUCUAGUGAGGUUGGGGACAGUACAGUAGACUACAGUAGACUAGUCCUAUUGUAGGGAGGUUAUAGGUUCUAGUGAGGUUGGUGACAGUACAGUAGACUACAGUAGACUAGUCCUAUUGUAGGGAGGUUAUAGGUUCUAGUGGGGUUGGUGACAGUACAGUAGACUACAGUAGACUAGUCCUAUUGUAGGGAGGUUAUAGGUUCUAGUGAGGUUGGUGACAGUACAGUAGACUAGUCCUAUUGUAGGGAGGUUAUAGGUUCUAGUGAGGUUGGUGACAGUACAGUAGACUACAGUAGACUAGUCCUAUUGUAGGGAGGUUAUAGGUUCUAGUGAGGUUGGUGACAGUACAGUAGACUAGUCCUAUUGUAGGGAGGUUAUAGGUUCUAGUGAGGUUGGUGACAGUACAGUAGACUACAGUAGACUAGUCCUAUUGUAGGGAGGUUAUAGGUUCUAGUGGGGUUGGUGACAGUACAGUAGACUAGUCCUAUUGUAGGGAGGUUAUAGGUUCUAGUGAGGUUGGUGACAGUACAGUAGACUACAGUAGACUAGUCCUAUUGUAGGGAGGUUAUAGGUUCUAGUGGGGUUGGUGACAGUACAGUAGACUACAGUAGACUAGUCCUAUUGUAGGGAGGUUAUAGGUUCUAGUGAGGUUGGUGACAGUACAGUAGACUACAGUAGACUAGUCCUAUUGUAGGGAGGUUAUAGGUUCUAGUGAGGUUGGUGACAGUACAGUAGACUACAGUAGACUAGUCCUAUUGUAGGGAGGUUAUAGGUUCUAGUGAGGUUGGUGACAGUACAGUAGACUACAGUAGACUAGUCCUAUUGUAGGGAGGUUAUAGGUUCUAGUGAGGUUGGUGACAGUACAGUAGACUACAGUAGACUAGUCCUAUUGUAGGGAGGUUAUAGGUUCUAGUGAGGUUGGUGACAGUACAGUAGACUACAGUAGACUAGUCCUAUUGUAGGGAGGUUAUAGGUUCUAGUGAGGUUGGUGACAGUACAGUAGACUACAGUAGACUAGUCCUAUUGUAGGGAGGUUAUAGGUUCUAGUGAGGUUGGUGACAGUACAGUAGACUACAGUAGACUAGUCCUAUUGUAGGGAGGUUAUAGGUUCUAGUGAGGUUGGUGACAGUACAGUAGACUACAGUAGACUAGUCCUAUUGUAGGGAGGUUAUAGGUUCUAGUGAGGUUGGUGACAGUACAGUAGACUACAGUAGACUAGUGAGGUUGGUGACAGUACAGUAGACUACAGUAGACUAGUGAGGUUGGUGACAGUACAGUAGACUACAGUAGACUAGUGAGGUUGGUGACAGUACAGUAGACUACAGUAGACUAGUGAGGUUGGUGACAGUACAGUAGACUACAGUAGACUAGUGAGGUUGGUGACAGUACAGUAGACUAGUCCUAUUGACGAGUCGUUGUUUACCUGCUGCUUAUCAGACAUAUGGAAUGCUGCCAUGUCAGUCCUGCAAUCAUCACACACACACACACACACACACACACACACACACACACACACACACACACACACACUCACACACACACACACACACACACACAAACACACACACACACACACACACACACACACACACACACACACACACACACACACACACACACACACACACACACACACACACACACACACACACACACACACACACACACACUCACACACACACACACACACACACACACACACACACACACUCACACACACUCACACACACACUCACACACACACUCACACACACACACACACAAACACACACACACACACACACACACACACACACACACACACACACACACACACACACUCACACACACACUCACACACACACACACACACACACACACACACACACACACACACACACACACACACACACACACACACACACACACACACACACACACACACACACACACACACACACACACACACACACACACACGCAAACACACACACACACACACA